CCCUUAGAUGUCCGGGGCCGCACGCGCGCUACACUGAAGGAAUCAGCGUGGCUUUCUCCCUGACCCGAAAGGGUUGGGAAACCCGUUGAAUCUCCAUCGUGAUAGGGAUUGGGGCUUGAAAUUGUUCCCCAUGAACGAGGAAUUCCCAGUAAGCGCGAGUCAUAAGCUCGCGUUGAUUACGUCCCUGCCCUUUGUACACACCGCCCGUCGCUACUACCGAUUGAACGGUUUAGUGAGGGCCUCGGAUUGGUCUCGGCCCGCUCUUUACCGGGCGGCGCCGUUGGUCGAGAAGACGCUCGAACUUGAUCGUUUAGAGGAAGUAAAAGUCGUAACA
This 334-nucleotide ribosomal RNA is filed under the name uncultured eukaryote. Its description in RNAcentral is "partial 18S ribosomal RNA". It matches the Rfam family "Eukaryotic small subunit ribosomal RNA", at positions 1470 to 1796 of the family's 1831-position model. The record is from RNAcentral.